This is a non-coding RNA of Dermacentor andersoni, 7987 nucleotides long. The record is from RefSeq and is a predicted model, not a curated record. NCBI's taxonomy places the organism in Eukaryota, Metazoa, Arthropoda, Arachnida, Ixodida, Ixodidae.
UCCACACAACUCGGACAAAGCCCUGACCGCUUUCUGUUUUAAAGUGGAGUUGCAGUCUUAUGCUGCAUACGUUUACGGCACCACACCGACAUCGAGCUACCAGUGCAGUUUCAACACGGUAGGCAGCACAAGUGUUUACAACAGCGCGUGUCUAAGCAUUUUUUUUUCUCCCAGGUGACUUUUCUGCGCGUGGCCCGUUCGACCCUUCCAAAACGUUUCGCAACUAAUCCGCUAGGGCAGGGCACAUGCGCCAUCGCGGCAUGAAAAAGUGGCGGUACAAGUUAACCCUUGUGAAGCUUGCGCGUCUACUCCGCCGUGGCGGCUGUUACUGUUGCCGACAGUGGGACGGUGCUGUCAUGAAAAGUGCAAACCUCUUGCUUCAACAAAUCUCCAAAACUGGAUGUUAUGCCACCUCCAGCACUCGGGGAGGCAGAGCCCAAGAAGCUACAGCCAUCUAGCCACAGGAUGGCAUCAUCACCAUCUGGCCACCAUCAAGCACCAAGUGUCACUGCACAGGUGCCGCGACCCUUGUGACCAGUGUUGUUAUAUGACCCUCGGACUAUCAUCUCUCAUAGCACAUGGGGGGGUGCAUUCCCACACAGACUGGAGGCCAUUUUGGUGUUGCUUUUGCUCUUGGAGCUUUUCACAGACGGGAGAUCUCAAGUUGCACUUGUGCAUCCAGAUGGGCAAGUGACCAUUCCUCUGCCCAGUCUGCUGUAUCUCCUUUGUGUGGGCUGCUCGCCUGAACGGUUUUUUGUGAGCGCAUCACUGUGCUACCACAGAGAAGCAGAACACCGACUUUGUAUGUGGACAUGGUUCAUUAACGAGGGAUAAAUGAAGUUCUGCUACAUAUGCGGUAUGCUGCAUAGCGCUCUGGUAUGUUGGCGAGCAGAAAUGUAACCAUGUACUAUAAUAUGUUAUAAUAAUAAAAUAAAUAAUAUUUUAAAAUGGUGCAGCAAAACUAAAGAAGCUGUUGAGACACUGCUGUGGCCAGUUAAGGUUGUUCCACUGAUUUCCCAGUGCCUUAGUAUAGUGGGUGGGGCACACAUAAAUAUAGACAGCCAUGAUAUUACGCUUUAUUUGAACACUGAUACAUUGAAAGGUGUAAGCGAAAGAAAAGCUUGCUAUGUCAAAAAUUGUUUAUACAGAAAUACUGCAAAGCAAGCCGUUUUUGCAAAUUCAGACAUUUCCUGUAAUUGUUGGAGGUUGCGGCAAACAUAAGCUUACUGAAUGGUGCAUCUAAGGUUUCUAAAUUGCACGGCUUUGUGAAAGGACAUGCUUCAUACCACGGCAUUGUUAGGACAUGCACAGGUGCAAAGCACAAGUACCUGAUCUGCCAUCAUUACUAGACUUAACUGGCACUCUUUGCUGAAGCACUACAGCAGCAACGAGAGAAGCAACCAUAAAAAACAUUUCUUUCUUUGGGGUGUUGGGAUCUCUGGGAAUGCACUGUCAUGACGACGCACGUAGCAAGAAAAAGUCAGUGGCUUGCAGUUUCUGUUUCUUUAUUUUCUGCUUUUUUCUUUAUCAGUAUAAACGUUAAUAUAUAUUUUGUCCUAAUUUUUCUGAAUACCGGUAUCCUUUGGAAUUUUAUGCAUGCCACUUGGCAUUGCUUUGUUUGGUUUUGAUUCUUCAUUUUUGUGUCUAGAGUGUUAAUAUUGCACAACAAUGUAAUUUGUUUAUAUUUUCUAUGGAUCAGCAUACAGUGAGCUUUGCUGUAUGCUGUUCACUAUGUGCAGUGAAAUGUGUUGCAGCUAGUGAAAUGUGUUGCAGCUAGUAUUCAGUGCAAGUAACCUUUUUAUCUAUCAACAUACGGUAUGAAGUCUCAAGAAAGUCUCAAGAACCUGAGUUUGCAAAUAAGAGUUUAUUUACUAUACUUAUACCAAAUAAUGCUGCCUUCUGUCACCUGCUAUUGAUGGGUGUGUUGCUCAGUGGCUAUGGUGUUAGGCUGCUGAGCACGAGGUCACUGGAUCGAAUCCUGACCACGGCGGCUGCAUUUCGAUGGGGGCGAAAUGCGAAAACACCCGUGUACUUAGAUUUGGGUGCACGUUAAAGAACCCCAUGUGGUCGAAAUUUCCGGAGUCCUCCACUACGGCAUGCCUCAUAAUAAAAGUGGUUUUGGCACGUAAAACCCCAUAAUUUUAAUUUCAGAACACAUGAGUCAACUUACACUUCAUUUCAAGCAGUCAGUCAAGAUAUCUGCUUGAAUUAAACUGACAGUUCGUGCUUACAGAAAGGGGCAAGAGACACAGAUAGAACUUUAGUAAUCUGCAUACAUUUUUGGGGGGUUCCCACAGCAGACAAGCGAAGCACAGUGUACUUGCUUGACGAACAAUCGGAUACGACUUAUGUCGCAAUAUCUUGGUUUAUGGUCAACAAGCAGUUGUGUUAGACUUAUUGGCAAAGGUAAUUCUCUACCAAACUGCAUAAUUAUUGUAUUCCUUCUCUUCUUGAAGACUAUGGCAUUUAAUGUAAAGUUAUAGGCACGAUUAUUUUACCACGUCAGUUGCCACACUCUGUACCUUGCUGCACCAAAGAUUGAGAGAGUGGCUGUAAAAGCUCACUUCUGGUAUGUUAGAGUGCUUCCACUUUUAUCACUGACAUUUCAAAAAAUAAAAAUAAAGUAUCUUAAUCCAACAGUGUCUUAACGAGGUCAUCACACUGUCUGCAUUCAGUAAAUUCCAAAACAAAAUUUUAAAACCCGGUUGAUUCUUCCAGUGUAUAGCCAGCGGGAAAGCAAAAUCCGUGGAGAAUGGAGAAUCGAGGUAGAAAGUGGAUGGGGAGAAGAGUGUUCUUACAUUCCAUGAGCAAGGUACAGCUGGUUGUGUUGGCAUGUACUGAUGAGGUGGAGUCUUUGCAAUGGCCUGUACCGUGUUAUUCAGUCUAGUGCAUAUGUCAUGUAGUGGGAGUUCAAAAUAAACAGGCAGUGUUCUCAUUGUUUUAGUGGUAUCGUCAAGGGAACUUUUGCACUGCUUGAUAAAAACAACUUAAUCAAAAUAUUCAGAUCCUGUAUAUGUAGGUUCGACUGUGCUCGCAGAAAUAAUAUCAAACCUUUCAAAGGGACAUGUAGCUGUGCAAAUAUGUAAUUUCACAUUUAAAAAUUAUUGUAUGUUUGUGUUUACAGAAGAAUGGCUGACUUCAUAUUGCUAUUCUAAACUACCAAGUUCCUAACUCACAGUAUUGUACUAUAAUGUUGAUUAUACAAAGAUAUUAUACGGUGUUUGGACACUUGCUUGUGUCAGUGAUGCAUUGUGUUUCAGAGCUUUUGAAGCGGCUUGCCCUAUGAACCUCUUUAAUUCCUUUCCCCAGUGCUUUCCUUGGCUUGAUCUCUGCUAGCUUCAUGUUGUAACUAGCAGAGAAUGGAGCCCAUCCGUUCUCUUUAUUUUUGUCAUGCAAGGAUGCCAAAUACUUUAUUCAAUACUGUGGACUGAGAAAUGCAUUCUUAUUGCGACAUUAUAGUGAGAACAAAUUGGCAGCAGUAAGUCCAAAAUGAUUUUUGUAGUAGUUAGAAUAAAAUGCAGGUUGCUGUACAGCAACAGAAUUCUUUUCCUAUGUGUUGACUGUGGCUAUGUGGCAUUAAAACAUGAGUAAAUACUGUAUUUACCUGAUUCUAACACACCCCCAAAUUUAACGCAAACCCAAUUUUUGCGGGUUCAAUGUAAGAAAAUAGAGGUGCUUCUGAACGUAACAUGCCCCCCCCCCCCACGUUCGCUAUCAGAAAAACUUGAGGUAAAUGCAGGACAUGGUUAGAGACUCCCCCGGGACAUUCAAGCACUUGCCCGAUGACGAAAGCACUCGGUUAAAUUCUGUCACUAGUACUCAACCAUUCGUUGCAAAAAACAUCCUUGUAUUGUAUUAUAAGACGAAAUAAACUGCUACUUUUCCCGUUCUAUUUUAUUCUUUAGAAAAAUAACUCGUUGAAAUUACCCUUGACAAUGACGCGGGCGGUUGAAAGGUUUCAAUACCACUCGGCUUCGCGCUGCCCACACUUUCGCGUUUCACUAGUUUCGUUAUCGCCUAGUGCUGCACUGGUUUUGUUGGCUCGCGAAACUCACUCAAGCUGCAAGUAGCAGAGAAUUCAACUUCCAUGUGAUGUCGCAGGAUGUCCAAACAGUCUGCGCCGCUUGACCAAAAUAUAGCUGCAGCAACGAAUCCACCACUCUGUCUUGGCUCGGUAGUGCCGUCUGUCGAGCAGGGUUUUACUCACCAAUAGCAGCAAAAGGUGAUGAUGGCGUAAUCAAUGUAACCACUCCCCCAGUUGGGUGGUGGGAAAUUAGAAUUUCUAGAAAAGCAUUCAGACCCUUCAGAUGCAAUUUUCCCGCAAACUAAGUCUUUUCUUGGCACGAAACAAGCAUUGCGAGGGUUCUGGAAUCGUAUUUAAAAAGUCCACGUUGACUUAGUAUUUGCCUUUAGUGUCCCUUUAAUGAAAGUGGCAUGUCAUUGUCUGCAUUGUUGCUUUAUUAAAGGCCACAGAUACUAAGUAUUCUCAGGCGAUCACAUUUAGAGAUAGUCUACGCUCGUUACAAUGGACCCACUUAUGACAGACUCGGUUAUAACGGACCAUAUUUCAGCCUUAGUUUGUUCUACCUGUUUUAUUAAUGCAACGAAGUUCGCUUCUAACGGACCGCACUACUACGGACUGUUGGCUACAGUGAACCAUAUUUUGAAAGCGAUCUGCAAUGUGGACAAAGCACGCUCAGUGCCAGUAGCUUCGUAUGUGCUGUGCUUUUGAUGUUUAGUUCAUGUUGAAGCGAGAGACAGCAAGAAGGACAAUUCGCUCGGGGCUGCUGCCGCGCUUAUCUUGCUUAAUUGGCUAUCGCAAUCGAUGUUUCACCUUUCAGGUGAAACUGCGACUUUGUUUUUUACUUUGGACUUUCGUCACUCACUUUUUGCAAUAAAGUUCUUAAACAUUGCGACGAAAGUUUCGGAUAUUACGGACUUCGGAUAAAACGGGCAUAUUUUGUUGGAUUAUCAGGGACCGUUGUAACGAGAGUCGACUGUACUACUAUCACUUUUGCUAGGUUUUACCUGACUCUGCAUUGUACUUGUUUAAAUACCGUAUUUACUCGAAUAAUGACGCACUCUUUUGUCAAAAAAAUUGGCGCGAAUUCAGGGGUGUGAUCAUUACACGGGUUAAAUUUCCUGCGAAAAGAAAAAUUUUUCAUCCCGCGUUUUCUGCGGGAUGACAACGGGUCAACAAAUAGGUGGCUGCUGCUGUAAGUAGUGCGGGACACCAAAACAAAAAUGGCAGCCGGUGGAGCAAGCUGAACGCGAUUUUUUUUUUGUUCUCGUGAGGACAUGACAUGCAUUGAAACAGUUCCUUCCGUAUCAGUAAUGAAUAAUAUUAAUAUCGGCAAGUUUGCGGCAAUAAUGUAGCCAUGUCCACUUUGAGGGGACAGAAACAGAUGGGCGCGCUUAGCUGCCAGUGACAUAAAAACACAGCGGGCAUGCUGUAAAAACUGCGGCAUUUGUCUUCACUACUAUCCUAAUACGGCACGUUUCCACUAAGGGUGGGCGAAUAUCUUAGCUGUGUUACAAGCUUCGGCGUAUGAAUAGGGUACGCUUAUAACGUAUCAGUGUAAAUGGGGCUACUAUCGUUUCCGCUCGCGAUUUGUUGCGUGCCCACGAGUGCAGAUGAGAAGAAUCAAAAAGCGCCUUUUUUGUUGUUGACCACAACCAUUAUAAAGCCUACACAUAAUAAAGGCAAGUUUGGUUGUACCUUUUUUUGUCAUGGAAGUGCGGAAAGUGAUGAAAGGAAUGAAAUGGUGCAUCUACUUAAGAAUGUUUGGUGCAUGCAGACCGCUUGGUUUGUCUUGGAAGAGUCGUUCGCAUAGCAUUCUACAGAUGGUAAGCACGAUAAUUAUUAGCUAGACUUGGCACACAACAUAUCGCUGUGGCAAGUUCGGGGUACGAUCAUUACACGGGAAAUAAAAAAAAUUGAAUUUGGCGACAAAAUUCAGGGGUGCGAUCAUUACGUGAGUAAAUACGGUGUGCAACCGACAGUGUUCCUGGCACUGCGUGCAGAUGGCAAGUGCGGUGUAGCACCAGAAACACUGGCAGCUGUAUAUACCACCGCAUCUGGUGCUGAGUCGUGAGAAAUCUCACGAAAGUGAUAGUGCCCAUAUUUCCUGGACUACAAAUUACACCUUUUUGUAAGUAUAAUUGAUAUGUAAGUUGUGUCAGUGUAUCAGACGUGCUUAUCUCACUUUGGUCGACAUGAUGAUGCUUGAUUAUGCGCACUUGCACACUCAUCGCAAAAAUUCCAUACUUACCUAUUUCAGGGCACUAAAAAAAAUCAGGGAGGCCAAGUGGGUUGCCACUGUGCUGCCUGCAUGGUGAGCCCAAGGAGCUAACAUCUAUCGCCACAAUCAUUCCACUGUUAAUACAAAGUUCGAUUUCUUUCAAAAUGUUGCUGUGCACGACUUCUUGUUCUCUGGGGGGGGGGCACUCAUGUUGGUCUCACCCAUCUGCAUGCCUUUAUGCAUAUAGAAGUCACACCGUUGCAUAGGAUGCACUGACAAAAAUUUUGUUAAAUAGAACGGGACUUGUAGUCCGUGAAUUAUGGUAUGCAUCUCGAAAAGUAAUUGACCGAGCGUACUGCUCCAGUUCAUAGUAGAGCAUAAAACUAAACCCAUAGCAACCUUCACGAAAACGUGCUCCGUUGCCAUCUUGUGAUGGUGACGAUGCUGCGUCUGGCAGUAAGCUGUUGCCAACACUGCAAAUGUUGUUUUGGUUCUGUAUCCGAUUGUAAUGCACAGGCAAUUAUUUCUUCUGAAUGAAGGUAUGUGUUAGAUUCUGGUAAAUACAGUAUGUUGGCUACGACUGCACCAUGCCAUAGAAUAUGCUGUCUAAUGAAGCUGUACAGACAUAAGAGCAUAAAUUGUAAACCUGGAUCUCAGAUUCUACAUCAUGUAGAAUCUUUUCUACAUUUUGCCACACCUCAUUCUUUAAUUACAUUGUGUCUGCAGUUUGUUAGAAGUGACCAUGAUUUCCAUUCAGGUGUUUAGCACGACACUUUCGUUUGCUCAGCAGUAUAAAUACUUAUCCUAGCUGCCCAUUUUUAGCACCAAUUUCGGGCUGGUGUAAAACUCCUUACAUCUUCGGUACCUUUCAUGGCACUUGUAUGAGAUGCCUUUGUUAAUCUUCUGUAUUUCAGUCUGAGAGCACAUUAAUAUAUUUAGACAUUGUUAUAUUGUGAUGCCUUUUUCUCUUUCCCUCUUUUUUUUUUUUCAUGUGAUAAAUAUUGAAAGGAUAUGUGGUAGCAUGUUAACCUUGAUAGAGUCAACUUGUGCACAGUAGCAAAAGGUAUGGUAUGUACAGUGUUUGCCAAACGUAACAAAACAAAUCCACCUAGAGGUUGGAUUGCCGAGUGAUGGCUACAUUGUGUUGCACCUCUGGAGCUUCUGGUUCUAGAAAGGUCGGAAGGGUACGGAAAAGUGUUUUCCUUUUUCUCCAGAUCUGUUGGGCCGAGCAGAUCCAGUGGGUCGCUGACUGCGCUUUGCAGUCACUGAAGCAGUGUCUGCUUUGUCAAAAGCUGUACUUCCUACCAUAUAGCACUGCACCCACAUUCAUCCGCCUCGAUGCUGGUGCGGCUGAUUCAUUGCUGAUAACAUUUUUCCCCCCUCUUCACAUAUGGGCCGUUUGUACUUGGUGAAUGUUAUGUCUGUAGCCACAAGAAUAGAUAUUUAUUUCGAGCCUUCGGGUUGAGUGGCUGUAUGUCUGAACUUCUUUACACCUCUGUAAUUGCUGUCGUCAGUGUCGAAUUUGGGUGCAUGCGGAAAUGUUACCUUUUCUUUAUAAUUUUUAUUAGACAUAGUACAUUUAGCAUUUCUCAUUGAACUUAUUCUUUCAUUCUGUUCAGAUCUCCUUAUUAUAUUUUUUUCAUGUUGGCUAUCCUUCACAGCAAAUAGCUGUUUAACCUUCGUUAUCAUUUGAAUUCACUAUAUGUCUGUUUCAACCCACUGAAUAAAUGACUGUGUCUAGUGAA